Long non-coding RNA from Meriones unguiculatus (Mongolian gerbil), 543 nucleotides. RefSeq lists it as uncharacterized. The record is from RefSeq and is a predicted model, not a curated record. NCBI's taxonomy places the organism in Eukaryota, Metazoa, Chordata, Mammalia, Rodentia, Muridae. The transcript is spliced from 2 exons.
UUGAUAAUUCAGAAUUAAGUGAGUUAAUGAUUGACGUCUACUCAUAAAAUCUGACCUGCCUCCUCACCUCCCGCAAACAGUGCCUUUCCUAAUGCCCCCGCUGCAAGGAAUAUGGCAAAUAGAAGUUCAGUCCUUCUUGCCCUGCCCAGCCCUGCUCAGGCCUCAGCCAGACUUCACAGCUCCCCACAGAUGACUGUUACAUGUCUUAGCACCUUGGUUCCCUUUCAGAGCCAGAAGCUCACAAAUCUGACCGACGGGAAAAGCCUGGUGCAACCUUGCAGCCUUUCUAGAAAAUGGGCAGAGGACAAAGGAGAGCUGGGACCCAUUUCCUUGCCACACCAGGCCUGAGGGACAGCAGGAUGGUCCUCUCCAGAGCUCUGCACACUGGCUGGCUCCUGGCCAGGAUGGGAUGGCACGAAUGUGGGAGGCCAAAGGAACACAGAUGGCAGGGAGCGGAAGGCCACCUCCAGCUCCCCCCCCCCAGGGUCCUUGAGCUCAACUUGCCUUCUGGGACCACAUAUUAAUAAAACAAUGGAAUUUUUA